This 468-nucleotide ribosomal RNA is filed under the name uncultured bacterium. Its description in RNAcentral is "partial 16S ribosomal RNA". It matches the Rfam family "Bacterial small subunit ribosomal RNA", at positions 28 to 507 of the family's 1533-position model. The record is from RNAcentral.
GACGAACGCUGGCGGCGUGCUUAACACAUGUAAGUCGAACGGAAAGGCCCUGCUUUUGUGGGGUGCUCGAGUGGCGAACGGGUGAGUAACACGUGAGUAACCUGCCCUUGACUUUGGGAUAACUUCAGGAAACUGGGGCUAAUACCGGAUAGGAGCUCCUGCUGCAUGGUGGGGGUUGGAAAGUUUCGGCGGUUGGGGAUGGACUCGCGGCUUAUCAGCUUGUUGGUGGGGUAGUGGCUUACCAAGGCUUUGACGGGUAGCCGGCCUGAGAGGGUGACCGGCCACAUUGGGACUGAGAUACGGCCCAGACUCCUACGGGAGGCAGCAGUGGGGAAUAUUGCACAAUGGGCGGAAGCCUGAUGCAACAACGCCGCGUGCGGGAUGACGGCCUUCGGGUUGUAAACCGCUUUCGCCUGUGACGAAGCGUGAGUGACGGUAAUGGGUAAAGAAGCACCGGCUAACUACGUG